UAAGUGUUACAAAAUUUUAAAAUGUAAUAAAUCUUUGAAAAUGUGUUUUUCUUUACAAGCAAGCAUUUCUCCAAUUUCAGUAAUUAAUUUAUUUUUUAUUGCAAAGUUUAAUUGGGGAAGAAACAUUGAUGUAGAACGAGAGAGUAAAAGAAAACUAGAUAAAUUGACUAGCAACAAACAUGUGAUUGAAUUCCAGUAAGCUUAGGUUGACCCAAACAAAUCAAAGUUGAACAAUUAAUUAAUUCCACAAGGACAAAUUAGAUUACCCAAAUUUGAAACCGUCCGGUAUGCAUGUUGGCCGGCCGGGGUUGGACAAUUCUCUGGGGGAAAAAUAAUGAAAAAUUGAAGAAAUAGUGGUAGUAGUAAUAAUCAACCAAAAAAUUCUCUAAUUUUGGAUCUCCAUCAGUUGAUUAACAUAUAUAUCAUAUCAUAAACGAAGCUAUUUCAUGCAUGAUUUUGGUUUUGUUUUGGGGUUUAAUUGAAUUGGGAAGAAAUACACACUAUUGAUUCAAAACCAAAUGCUUGGAACAAAGAGUACACAAAUACUUGCGCUUGAUCCUGAAACAUAUGGGGAUUAGAAAGCAGAACCUGGUUUGGGUCUCCACGUCCACCGCCUGCACCUUCCCUCCACAGUGAGGGCAAUUUCCGGAAGCUUCUUUUCUCCCCAGUUCUCUCUCCUCCUCCACUUCAUCACACACCAAACACAUUCUUAUUUAAUUCCCAAGUAUUGAUAUAUGCAGGUUAAUUAAUUGGAUUUGUGGAUUUCUCUUUUAUAUAUGCGAGUAUUCAAUUGAGAAUAUUUGAGACAUUUCGGUCGGCAAUCGGCAUAGGCACCCUCGUUUUCGCAUAAGUUUCUUUUUAAUGUACGCGUG
RNAcentral lists this long non-coding RNA (872 nucleotides) under Panax ginseng (ginseng). RNAcentral's name for it is "long non-coding RNA (PGIN_LNC011245)". The record is from RNAcentral. Lineage: Eukaryota; Viridiplantae; Streptophyta; Magnoliopsida; Apiales; Araliaceae.